AUGGCACACAAUAAAUCCCCUGUACCAGAUGGCUUCGCUCCUGAAUUUUAUCAACAUUAUUGGGAUCUGGUAAAACAUGAUCUAAAAGCUCUGUUGGAUGACUUUGUUAGUAGGAAAAUUGAUAUUAGUAGACUAAACUAUGGGAUUAUAACUCUAGUCCCAAAAGGGAUAGAUGCUAAUCAAAUACAGAAAUUCAGGCCAAUUUACUUGCUUAAUGUCUGCUUCAAUAUUAUUACAAAGGUGUUAAUGAACAGGUUGAAAUUGGUAGCUGCUAAUGUCAUUUCUCAUGUUCAGACUGCUUUUGUUAAGGGCAGGUAUAUUAUGGAAGGUGUCGGGGAUAUACCCCGUGGCGUAAACCAGCCGGAAGUAUAA
This 372-nucleotide ribosomal RNA is filed under the name Triticum aestivum (bread wheat). Its description in RNAcentral is "partial small subunit ribosomal RNA". Lineage: Eukaryota; Viridiplantae; Streptophyta; Magnoliopsida; Poales; Poaceae. The record is from RNAcentral.